This 253-nucleotide ribosomal RNA is filed under the name uncultured bacterium. RNAcentral describes it as "partial 16S ribosomal RNA". It matches the Rfam family "Bacterial small subunit ribosomal RNA", at positions 524 to 776 of the family's 1533-position model. The record is from RNAcentral.
UACGUAGGGACCGAGCGUUGUCCGGAUUCAUUGGGCGUAAAGAGCUCGUAGGCGGUCUGUCGCGUCGGCUGUGAAAACUCGGGGCUCAACCCCGAGCCUGCAGUCGAUACGGGCAAACUUGAGUGCGGUAGGGGAGAUUGGAAUUCCUGGUGUAGCGGUGGAAUGCGCAAAUAUCAGGAGGAACACCGAUGGCGAAGGCAGAUCUCUGGGCCGUAACUGACGCUGAGGAGCGAAAGCAUGGGGAGCGAACAGG